GAGCGUAGCUCAGUUUGGUUAGAGCGCUUGCCUGUCACGCAAGAGGUCGCGGGUUCGAGCCCCGUCGUUCCC
This 72-nucleotide transfer RNA is filed under the name mouse gut metagenome. It matches the Rfam family "tRNA". From Rfam's summary of the family: Transfer RNA (tRNA) molecules are approximately 80 nucleotides in length. Their secondary structure includes four short double-helical elements and three loops (D, anti-codon, and T loops). The record is from RNAcentral. RNAcentral also lists the same sequence under 1 other name.